RNAcentral lists this ribosomal RNA (486 nucleotides) under uncultured bacterium. RNAcentral describes it as "partial 16S ribosomal RNA". It matches the Rfam family "Bacterial small subunit ribosomal RNA", at positions 29 to 507 of the family's 1533-position model. The record is from RNAcentral.
AUUGAACGCUGGCGGCAUGCCUUACACAUGCAAGUCGAACGGCAGCACGGGUGCUUGCACCUGGUGGCGAGUGGCGAACGGGUGAGUAUUACAUCGGAACAUGUCCUGUAGUGGGGGAUAGCCCGGCGAAAGCCGGAUUAAUACCGCAUACGAUCUACGGAUGAAAGCGGGGGACCUUCGGGCCUCGCGCUAUAGGGUUGGCCGAUGGCUGAUUAGUUAGUUGGUGGGGUAAAGGCCUACCAAGGCGACGAUCAGCAGCGGGUCGGAGAGGACGACCAGCCACACUGGGACGGGGAAACGGCCCAGACUCCUACGGGAGGCAGAAGUGGGGAAUUUUGGACAAUGGGCGAAAGCCUGAUCCAGCAAUGCCGCGUGUGUGAAGAAGGCCUUCGGGUUGUAAAGCACUUUUGUCCGGAAAGAAAUCCUUGGCCCUAAUACGGUCGGGGGAUGACGGUACCGGAAGAAUAAGCACCGGCUAACUACGUG